CGUAUUGAUCCUUGUGUUUGUAUACUUGUAGAGACCGUCCUGGAGUGUUUGUGCUACCUGAUUCUUGGAAUUGCGCACCAAUCUCUCUCUCUGGCUGACUUUGCACUACUUAUUUGCAAUUACACCUGUUUGGUCAAAAUACAUGAAGGCCAAAGAAACCGUGAUGCUUACUUAUGAGGACAUAACCUUUGUACACAAGACCCUGGAAAGUCCUGAAGGUGCAGUGCUGUCUAAUGCCCCUGGUUCUGUAUUAACCCUUUCAACAAUUGGAGUGUUGCACAGAGCAUUGUGGUGAACAUGCAGCUAACAAAAGAAG
Pelobates cultripes (western spadefoot toad) is the source of this 316-nucleotide non-coding RNA. Lineage: Eukaryota; Metazoa; Chordata; Amphibia; Anura; Pelobatidae. The record is from the annotation of a GenBank genome assembly.